This 1560-nucleotide ribosomal RNA is filed under the name Enterococcus sp. RNAcentral's name for it is "bacterial SSU rRNA". It matches the Rfam family "Bacterial small subunit ribosomal RNA". Lineage: Bacteria; Bacillati; Bacillota; Bacilli; Lactobacillales; Enterococcaceae. The record is from RNAcentral.
AGAGUUUGAUCCUGGCUCAGGACGAACGCUGGCGGCGUGCCUAAUACAUGCAAGUCGUACGCUUCUUUUUCCACCGGAGCUUGCUCCACCGGAAAAAGAAGAGUGGCGAACGGGUGAGUAACACGUGGGUAACCUGCCCAUCAGAAGGGGAUAACACUUGGAAACAGGUGCUAAUACCGUAUAACAAUCGAAACCGCAUGGUUUUGAUUUGAAAGGCGCUUUAGGGUGUCGCUGAUGGAUGGACCCGCGGUGCAUUAGCUAGUUGGUGAGGUAACGGCUCACCAAGGCCGCGAUGCAUAGCCGACCUGAGAAGGUGAUCGGCCACAUUGGGACUGAGACACGGCCCAAACUCCUACGGGAAGGCAGCAGUAGGGAUCUUCGGCAAUGGACGAAAGUCUGACCGAGCAAACGCCGCGUGAGUGAAGGAAGGUUUUCGGGAUCGUAAAACUCUGUUGUUAGAGAAGAACAAGGAUGAGAGUAACUGUUCAUCCCUUGACGGUAUCUAACCAGAAAGCCACGGCUAAAUACGUGCCAGCAGCCGCGGUAAUACGUAGGUGGCAAGCGUUGUCCGGAUUUAUUGGGCGUAAAGCGAGCGCAGGCCGGUUUCUUAAGUUUGAUGUGAAAGCCCCCGGCUCAACCGGGGAGGGUCAUUGGAAACUGGGAGACUUGAGUGCAGAAGAGGAGAGUGGAAUUCCAUGUGUAGCGGUGAAAUGCGUAGAUAUAUGGAGGAACACCAGUGGCGAAGGCGGCUCUCUGGUCUGUAACUGACGCUGAGGCUCGAAAGCGUGGGGAGCAAACAGGAUUAGAUACCCUGGUAGUCCACGCCGUAAACGAUGAGUGCUAAGUGUUGGAGGGUUUCCGCCCUUCAGUGCUGCAGCUAACGCAUUAAGCACUCCGCCUGGGGAGUACGACCGCAAGGUUGAAACUCAAAGGAAUUGACGGGGGCCCGCACAAGCGGUGGAGCAUGUGGUUUAAUUCGAAGCAACGCGAAGAACCUUACCAGGUCUUGACAUCCUUUGACCACUCUAGAGAUAGAGCUUCCCCUUCGGGGGCAAAGUGACAGGUGGUGCAUGGUUGUCGUCAGCUCGUGUCGUGAGAUGUUGGGUUAAGUCCCGCAACGAGCGCAACCCUUAUUGUUAGUUGCCAUCAUUCCAGUUGGGCACUCCUAGCCAAGACUGCCGGUGACAAACCGGAGGAAGGUGGGGAUGACGUCAAAUCAUCAUGCCCCUUAUGACCUGGGCUACACACGUGCCUACAAUGGGAAGUACAACGAGUCGCGAAGUCGCGAGGCUAAGCUAAUCUCUUAAAGCUUCUCUCAGUUCGGAUUGUAGGCUGCAACUCGCCUACAUGAAGCCGGAAUCGUUAGUAAUCGCGGAUCAGCACGCCGCGGUGAAUACGUUCCCGGGCCUUGUACACACCGCCCGUCACACCACGAGAGUUUGUAACACCCGAAGUCGGUGAGGUAACCUUUUGGAGCCAGCCGCCUAAGGUGGGAUAGAUGAUUGGGGUGAAGUCGUAACAAGGUAGCCGUAUCGGAAGGUGCGGCUGGAUCACCUCCUU